CCCUGUACCCGCUACUCUUCUUAGAACCACACUCUAAAAGCUCUUUCUUUUAGCCUCUAUUGGUUUUUCUUAACCAUAAUGGAGGCGUCACCGUGUUUGUUUCGAAGUUGACGCCCAUUCGGAGUUGCGUAAUAAAGACCGAAAAUCAUAAACCUUCUUGACGACGCCCCGUUCAAUGCCCACAAAAAGGUCAAUGGUCUCCCUUUAUCCUUUUAUCUGUUGUAAGUAAUAUUUGAGUUCUUUUAUAAAAUAAUAAGUGUUAGUUCUCUUUUCUGAUCUUUGAUUAGAAACUAUGAAAUAAGGAUUUAUCAUGCUUUCAUUCAAUGUUUCAUGUUAUUUGUGAACUAGUGAACGCGGUUUAAGGUUUCUUUAUAAUAUUAUUCUGGAUUAAGUGAUCAGAUUAUGUGAAGCAUUGUAUGCUAUAGAAUCUUAUUUUUUCUAAAAUGUAAGUUGUUAACCAGAAGUCAUGACUUAUGGAUAUGUUGCCAUAGAAAGUAUGGUAAUAAAGUUAUGAAAUCAUCUCUGUUUAAAAUUUGGUAGAAUCUGCAAUUUAAAGUUUACUAGGAAUCAUGAUUUCGUUACUUGGUCAUUAUCCGUUAGCAUAGUGAUACUUCAGUUUGAGACAAUCUGUUGAUGACAAAGAAUCUGCAUUAUUCAUUAAAAGAUCUAUUUGUGCUCCUUCCUGUAAUGAAAUCAAGUUCAUAAACAAAAUAGAAACCUACUAGUAUAACUUAAGAAAGAUUACUGUUUUUUUAUUAUAACAUGGUUCAUACAUCCCUAACAACUAGUUAAAGUGAAGUGUGAGUGCAGAGUUAUGUGUUAAACACCCUUUUCAGGAAUUGAUAUCAAUUCUGCCUGCAAUUUAAGGAUCAUAUAAUUGUUACAUAGUAAGUCAGUGAUCAUGAUAGCAUGUAUAUAUGAUAUCUUAAGUAGUAAUGGUAAAAGUGAAAUCUGUUAGCAUGUGUUUGUUGAACAAAGUAUGCUUUUUGCUGCUGUCAUUUCUUAUGUACCUUGAAGAAUCAAGUUUAACUUUUGCUAAUGGCCUUAAGGAAGUGUAAAUCCCAAUUUGUUUGUUAGGCUGAAUCUCUUACUUUAGGAGGUAACUUGAAUACAUAAUGUAAUUGUUUAACCUUAAUAUAAGAACAUCACUUGAGAAACCUUUCAAAUUGGUAAAAGUUUAUGUGCCUUAUUAGCAUGAUAUGCAUAAGUACUGGUUUUUUAGCAUAAGUUUGUGAUUUAUGUACUCUUUCUGUAACUUUAGUUUUUCUUCUUUUAUCUUCCUUACGUGUUUAAUAUAUUCAGAUCCUCUUUCUAAUCCUUUCUUUUCUUUCUUUAUUUUGCAUGAAAACACCGGAGCCGCAAAGAGUUCCAGUAUGGGACUCGACGCUGCUGCCUAGACACAAAGCACGCACACCCCUUCAUUUUCUCUUCUAUUCCUGAACUUAUUUAGGCUCUCGAAAAAAGAGAGGAAAAGUAGAAGAGAUGACCAAACAUUGGCUGUCUAAUGUUACUUUCCUGUGUUUAUUAGCUAACUGUUUUAUGCGAUCUAUUUGCUUGCUUGGUUGCUCGAACUCAUUUGAAUUAAAUUAGUUUGUUUGAUCACGUAGUAUUUGGCAUCUCGAUGUGCAAACUUUAACACCAAUAAUAGCUUUUCAUUUAGUAGUCCGGGCUAAUAGACCUAACUAAUUUAAGAGCAUUUUUGAAGGUAUUUGGAGCUUUAAAUUGUGAAGGAAACUCGUUUUCAUUUAUCGAGUGUUAAACAAGUUUAAGGAAAUCAGCUAAAUUUUUAUCUUUACAAUAAUCUGCAAUUUUUUUUAAAAGUGAUAAACGAACAAGCUCAAACUUUAUUUUCCUUCAAACAAUAUAUUUCUUUCAAGUACUAGGCGAGUGGAUAGCUCCAUACAUCUUCCUUGAAUUUGGUUUCAUUGGAUUAAAGAACUUUGAACUUUGAACAACGAUCUAUUUCUUUUUCUAAAAGUUAUAGUUGUUCUCUUAGAAUCUUUAACUAGAGGUCUCAUUCUUAAAGUCAAAUAAUGCUUUCCAUUUAUUAAUUUGUGCUAAGUUUAGGUAACUAUCUACUUUAAGCUGCCUACGGUAAUUCAUAGCAUACAUUUUAGUGUUAACUUUCUUUUAUUUAUACUUAUAAAUGACCACAUUUUUUACAACCCUUAGUCUUAAUUAACUUAAGUUUGGCCGGUUAACCAUAUUAAUGGAUCAUAUACAGAGUGCUUAAUACCUUUUCUAUAAGAUUAAAUAAAGCCCUUACCCGUAGUCUUAAAGGUUAAAUAGACCAUAAAACAAAGUUAACUGCAUUACUUAAGCUUUUAAAUAUAGGUGUCUUAAUUCACCUUAGAAUUAAUUAGAUGACGACUCUUUUAAUUAAUUAACACUUGACUUACCAAUAUGUUAUGCUCUAAUUUGACCCGAUUAAAAUGGGGUAUAACAAUCAUCCCCGACCCUGAUAAGGACAUCACCACACACGUGGAGGGGUACUUAAGCAUUUAUACAUACCCCUUCAUGUUUGGCACAUAGUUCUCGAUUUUUGCAAAAGGUACGAGGUCUGCCUUAGGUAGAUUCACCCGUCCUUUUGGAGGACCGUGAUGUAAAAGAAGAAUCUAUGUUAAAUUUCAUUAAUUUUGGCAUGUUUUAGAGCUCAAGUCCAAACAUAUAGACUUCUUUUCAAGAAGUCCAAAAAGCUCAAGAUUGAUUUCAAGAAGCCAAGAUUCUUUAAAUAGGAUUUAUUUUAUUCCUUUUAGAAUAAGGAUUUUACUUUUAGUAGAAUUCUAGCUUCUUUUCCUUGUAGAAUAAGGAUUUUACUUCCCUUGUCUUUAGUUAUUUUAUUUUCUUAUUAGAAUAGGAAAUAUAGUCAUCAAGAAGAGACUCUAGGCGUAUAUAAAGGGUUCUCUUGCCUUGUAGAAAAUAAUUCACGUUUUUAUGCUUGCCCUAGUUUUACAAUAGAGUGUUUUUCUCUAUUUUUUCUUCUUUAUCCUUGUUUUUGGUUCCAAGCAAGAUGGUGAUAGUCUUUAUCUUGUCUUCAAUUAUGUGUGGUGUUUAUUUAUCGUGCUAAUUGAGUCUAAAUGGUGGCUUUAGGAAUUUUAUAGUUCUUGAUUAUUCAAAAAUACGUUUCUUGAUCUAAAUUCAUUUUUUUAUUAUCAGAGAAUCAUAACUUUCCUUGAACCGGUACAACAUCAAUAUUUACUUGUUUUGAAUGAGUAAAUAUUCUUUCUUAUAGUUCAGAUUGUCAUCUUUCACCCUCGUUUUUGAAUCAUCAGAUUCUGUGUCCUAAAACUUGAGAUACGUUAUUUCUUAAAAUCGACCCACAAACCACAUUUUCGUUUCAAGAUCUUGAUCCUGGUCGAAUGAUUCUUUGUUAACUGAAAGAAUCACAUCAUGGUAUCAGAGCUAUAAUCCACAGGUCCCAAGUUGAUGAAUUCAUCACAUCAAUUUGGUAUCAGAACUAUUACCCAUAGGUCCAAAAGUUGAGAAAUCAUCAUGUCUAAGAUUCAAACAAGAGCAAGAUUCUUGGUUCAAGAAGAUGAAAAAACAAGACAACAUGAAUCUUUUCUACACUAGAUGUACCUCCAAUGAAAAAGUUUGUUCAUUGAUCAUUAAUCAUGGGAAUCACAUAAAUAUCGUUUCUGAAGAGAUGGUUUCUUAACUCGGCUUGUCAACCAAACUUCAUUCAUAUCCUUACAACAUUGAAGUUGAAGAUGAUGAUGGUUUAGAGAUAACUCAUCAAUGCCUAGUAUCUUUUUCUAUUGGUAAGAUAUAUAAAGACAAGAUUUGGUGUGACUUGGUGAAUAUGGGUGCUUGUCACUUAUUACUCGGAAGACCAUGGGUGUAUGAUAAGUGUGCUAAAUAUGAUGAAGACCUUAAUACCUAUUCUUUUACAGAGAAUGGACAUAAGAUUAUUUUAGUACCGCUGAAUACCGAAGAAAUAGUUAAUUUUCUGAAGUUCAAUGAUGAUUCUUUUCUGACCAAAUUACAAAGAAUUGAUCCAAUCAAUAGAGAAAAGUCUUUGAUCGUUGGUCCAAUCAAGGAGGAGGAGCAUGAACUGGAUCUACAAGUUGAGGAUUUACCUCCUAAGUUUGAUGAUGACUUAUUGGAGCAUCCCAUAAGUGAGCUUAACUUUUCACCUAAUAGAGAUGCUCAACAUAAUAUUAAUUUGAUUGUUGAUUCUAUCCUUCCAAACGAGGCAUCAUAUUGCAUUAAUCCAGAAGUCCAUGAAAUUUCGCAAACACAAGAGGAAGGGUUGCUUAAAAAGGAGUCCAUAAUGGAGGGUUUGAGUUAUAUUUUGUUCCAGCUUUUUUUCUUGCCCCCAAAGGAUGAAUAUAUUCAAGAAUACAUACGAUAUAUCAACACAAAUUCCAUCAAUGGACAUGAUCUAGUUAAAUAUGAGAGCGUUGUUGCUGAUGAAUUCUCAAGAAGAUAUACUUCCAUCUCCAAGCUUGAUCUAGUAAUAGUACUUGAAUUUGAUUCUUCUAAGGGGUUUCAUGGUGCUAAAUCGAAUUUUCUUGGCAUAUCCCAUAAGCACCACAUUGACAUGGAGAAGUUCAAGAUUUCUGAAGAUCAAAAGAAUAUAAUUUAUGAUUAUGGAUUAGUGUUUAAAAAUUGAUUUAAGAGGAUUCAUUGAAGCAAUAUUGGUACAAAGUUACUAUUGAGAAAGUGAGAUUUAGUUCGGCCACAUGCUAAGCUUUGUUACAACACGAUAAUUUUUUUUAACAAGUUAGAACAAUGCAACUUAGAGCCUGGUGAAUAUGAGUUCUACCAAAGCAUGAUAGUUGUCAAGACUGUGCCAUUUGUGGAGCGUUUAGACUCAAGGACGAGUCUUUAUCAACCAGGGAGAAUGAUGUAAAAUAAGAAUCUAUGGAAGCUCAAGAUUGAUUUCAAGAAGCCAAGAUUCUUUCCUUCUUAAAAUGGGAUUUAUUUUAUUCCUUUUAGAAUAAGAAUUUUCCUUUUAGUAGGAUUCUAGUUUCUUUUCCUUGUAGAAUAGGGAUUUUAGUUUUACUUCCCUUGUAUUUAGUUAUUUUAUUUUCUUAUUAGAAUAGAAAUUAUAGUCAUCAAAGAAGAGACCAUAGGCCUAUAUAAAGGGUUCUCUUACCUUGUAGAAAAUAAUUCACGUUUUUUAGGCUUGCCCUAGUUUUACAAUAAAGUAUUUUUCUCUAUUUUGUCUUCUUUAUCAUUGUUUUUGGUUCCAAGUAAGAUGGUGAUAGUCUUUAUGUUGUCUUCAAUUGCGUGUGGUGUUUCUUUACCACGUUAGUUGAGUCCCAAUGAUGGCUUUAGGAAUUUUAUAGUUCUUGAUCGUUCAAGAACAUGUUUCUUGAUCUAAAUUCGUUUUUUGUUAUCAUAAUAUCAUAACUUUCCUUGAACCGGUACAACAUCAAUAUUUACUUGUUUUGAAUGAGUAAAUAGUCUUUCUUAUAGUUCAAAUCGUCAUCUUUCACCUCGUUUUUGAAUCAUCAGAUUCCGAGUCCUAAAACUUGAAAUACUUUGUUUCUUGAAAUCGACCCACAAAUCACAUUUUCGUUUCAAGAUCUUGAUCCUGGUCGGUUGAUUCUUUGUUAACUUGAAGAAUCACAUCAAUUUGGUAUCAGAUCUAUAAUCCAUAGAUCCCAGGUUGAUGAAUUCAUCACAUUAAUUUGGUAUCAGGACUAUAACCCACAGGUCCAAAGGUUGAUAAAUUAUCAUGUCUAAGAUUCAACCAAGAGUAAGAUUCUUGGUUCAAGAAGAUGAAGAAACGAAACAGCGUGAAUCUUUUCCACACUAGAUGUACCUCCCAUGGAAAAGUUGUUCGUUGAUCAUUGAUCAUGGGAGUCACAUAAAUAUUGUUUCUGAAGAGGUGGUUUCUAAACUCGGCUUGUCAACCAAACUUCAUCCAUAUCCUUACAACAUUGAAGUUGAAGAUGAUGAUGGUUUAGAGAUAACUCGUCAAUGCCUAGUAUAUUUUUCUAUUGGUAAGAUCUAUAAAGACAAGAUUUGGCGUGAUGUAGUGAAUAUGAAUGCUUGUCACUUAUUACUUGGAAGACCAUGGGUGUAGGAUAUGUGUGCUAAAUAUGAUGAAGACCUUAAUACCUAUUCUUUUACAGAGAAUGGACGUAAGAUUGUUUUAGUACCGUUGAUUUCCGAAGGAAUUGCUAAUUAUCUAUAGUUCAAUGAUGAUUCUUGUAUAUGGAAAAAUCGGAGGAACCAAUUUUCCGCCAUUAUGAUGCCUCGUCAGCACGUUUUCAAAGGCUCGAGGCUAUGGUCGGGAUUCGCCCCCGAGGGGCUAUCGACGCUCGACCUCAGGGCAUUAUAGAUCAACGGUUAUGGUGAAAAAGUGGAAAGUUCCUAAGGCGCGUAGCUAGAGCCGAUAAAGUUUGUCAGGCUAGUCUUAGCCCGCAUCAUGGCAUUAACUAGCUGUACCAUAUCCAUAUCUUUGUAAUUAAUGUAUUUGUACUAUGUUGGGAUUUCCCCUCAUAUAUAAAGGGGAUUCUUGUCAUUUUGUAGUCAUGUGUUGCUCAAUACUAAAUACACAAGAACAUUCUCUCUGCUCUCUAACAUAUUCUCUUGAUCUUAUUGCUUCCAUUUAUUGCUUACAUUAAUUGUGUUCUAUUUAUUGCUUAUCAUUGAUCAUAAAGAGCCAUCAUUUUGGCUCUCAUAACUGUUAGUCCUCCUACAGUUGCCUUAAGCCAAAUUCCAGACUCGACCUCGAGGCCUCAUAUACGGCAGCUCGAGGCCCCGAUCCCCAGCCCCUCAGUUCGAUCAUCACAUUGUCUUUAAGCUUUAAUCUUGCUUUCUAUUCUUUUACUUAGCACCCAUUACCUAACAACUAGCAUAAAAAUAGAUAAUGUAUUUUUAGAACCACAAAAUAAAAUUUAAUUGCUAUUAUCAUUUUCACGGUAAACAGUUUGGCGCCCACCAUGGGGCUAAAAAUAAUAGUGAUUAUCUUCUUGCUGGUUUAACUACAUAACGCAAGUUACCUCUCUAACUUUUUCUUGUCCAAGAUCUUUGAUUUCAGGUCAAGAUGUCUAACUCAGUAAACAACAAUCUUGAGGACCAUGGAGAGAAUGGUGUGGAUGUUCCAGGUGUUGGUAUACCACCACGAAACCCUAAGAAUGCAUCAGAACCAAUUUUCGUGGAUGCGGCCUCACACGAUGCCCAACACGUCAAUAUAAGCUCUCAUACUAAUAGGAGCGUGCAUCAAGGAGACCAAUAAGAAGCUCAGAAAACCCCAACUAGGGAAGAACGAGAGGUUAGCCUUCACGUUAUUUUUGAAAUGUUAUAGGCACAACAGCUGGCUAUUGCUCAACUACAAAGUCACCAGAAAACUCCCAGCACGGUAGCACCGGGGAUGGCUCUCCCAACCGAGCAGGUACUAGAAAGAUCAAGCAACAACUGAUCGGUAGCCGACCCCGCCAUCGUAAAGAUGCUCGAGGACCUCACAAAGAGUAUCGAGUUGGGCGAGAAAAAGAUAGAAGCCAACGAUAAUAAGAUAGAGACAUACAAUUCUAGGGUCGAUCAAAUUCCGGGCGCACCCUCGGUUCUGAAAGGUGUAGAUUCGAAGAAGUUUGUGCAAAAGUCGUUCCCGCAGGAGGCGGCCCCACAACCCAUUCUGAAGAAGUUUAGAAUGUCCGAGCUUUCGAAGUACAACGGAACCUCGAACCCUAACGAACACGUCACUGCCUACACUUGCGUAGUGAAGGGCAACGACCUAAGGGACGACGAUAUCGAGUCCAUCCUGCUAAAGAAGUUUGGGGAAACACUCUCGAAAGGGGACAUGAUAUGGUAUCACAUCCUAGCUCCUAACUCUAUAAACUCAUUUGCCAUGCUAGCAGAUUUUUUCAUAAAGGCACACACCGGCGCCAUCAAAGUAGCAACAAGGAAAUCCGACGUCUUCAAGAUCAAGUAGAGGGAGAAUGAGAUGCUGCGAGAGUUCGUAUCUCGUUUUCAAAUGAAAUGAAUGGAGCUACCACCAGUCUCCGACGAUUGGGCAGUGCAGGCCUUCACUCAAGGUCUGAAUGAACGAAGCUCGGUGACUUCGAAGUAGCUGAAAUAGAAUUUGGUUGAAUACCCUGCCGUGACUGGUCGAACGUUCACAACCAAUAUCAAUCGAAAAUCAGGGUCGAGGACGACCAACUAGAAGCCCCCUCGGGCUCGGUAUAUCCCAGUAGGCUUCUGCCAAAGGAGACAAAUCCAAACAAGAAAAGAUACCAACCAUACACUGAAGAUAGAAGAAACGCCCCGAGGCACAAAAUACCCCGUAAUGAUCGAAGAAAGGACCAAGGGAAGAACCCUCGGGGACUCGUUAGCAAAUCCGGGUUCGAUAGGCACGUAGGGUCGAUGGAUGCACCUCACUUGUUGGAAUACAACUUCAACGUCGAUAUUUCAGAUAUCGUGUUCGCCAUCAGUAAAAUCAGAGACACCAGGUGGCCAAGUCCUGUACAAUCAGAUCCUUCAUAAAGGAAUCAUAACUUAGUGUGUGAAUUUCACAACACACACGGUCACAGGACCGAAGAUUGCCGGCAACUCCAGGAAGAGGUAGCCCGACUACUCAGGAAAGGUCACCUCCGGGGAUUCCUCAGCGAUCGAGCCAAAAUUUAGUUCCGGGAAAGUGAGGCGACCGAAAAGAACGAAGCAAAUGAGCCACAAGAUGUCACCAUAUGACUUUUUAAUGUGUCGGUGCCCUGCAGGAACCUACGAUCAGGAGAACGAAAACAUCCCUCACCAGGAAAAAGCGAACUCGAGGCUCUAUCUCAGCCCCAUAACGAUGCACUGGUAACUUCUUUUCUUGUGAAUACAUUCCAAAUUAAACAUGUGCUUGUGGAUCUAGGUAGCUCGACCAAUAUUAUCAGGUCGAGGGUAACAGAGCAACUCGGACUGCUUGAUCAAAUUAUGCCUGCCUCUCGAGUCCUCAAUAGAUUCAACACGACGAGCAAAACAACGAAAGGGGAAACUACCCUACCAAUCAAUAUGGCCGGCACAACCCAAAGCGACUACGAGGCAUUUCUCAGCUGUACCUGAAUGAACAAACGAAGGGCCGUACCGUGUCCUCAGAGCAAGUACUGAAGGCUUACCAAGGCUCAAAGCACCAUCAUCACUAAGGUAUAUCCAUCUACCUUUUAAUUUACAUCUCAUACUAACCUUUAUGCAGGUGUCCGACUAAGACAAUCGAAGCGCCAAUCCAUCUCGAAGACCUUAAGGUUUUAAAGCACACAUUGCACUAUUUUCCUUCGAUCGAGUUUUUAUCCCGAAAAGGGUUUUACCGGCAAGGUUUUUAACGGCAACAUCUAUAUGCUACCUAAGAAAGACUCAACGAGUAUUCAAGGCUUCUUUUGCAAUAAACCUUGAAUACUGGGGGGAAUGCCCCCAGAAGGUCACCUACUUGGAGAAGCCAAGAAGUGCUGAACGGGGUCUCGAUAGGAGAAUAAUGUACCGGGCCAAACGGUCGAAUGAACCGUGUCCAUAAAAGAAUAACCGAGUCCCUAACAAUGAAAACAUGUAUACUUGUACCAAGUAAUCAAAGAAUACUUCCCAAAAGCAUUUUACGCUUCAAGGAAGCUUGAUAUUUUUUUGCAAAAAAUGGCCCAGAGCAAAACAAGUCCCGAAUACUUGGGGACUAGCGUCAACAACUCAAAACAAUACGACCCCCGGGUCAGAGCUUCAAACUCGUAAGCCCUCAAUGAGGCAAUAAAAAGAUCACAAAACAACCCAGAGCCAAAAACGUCCCGAACACUCGGGGACUGGCGUCGAAAACUCAAGGCCACAUGACCUCCGGGUCUGAAACUCCAAAAUUGUAAGCCCUCAAUGACGCAAUACCAAGUUUACAAGUAAUGGAUCCCGAGUCGACAAAUCCUCGAUGACUCAGGGACUACCGUCAAUCGCCAUCUCUAUUGACUUAUCAAAGCCCGAGGCUAUAAGACCACAUGCGGGCAGCCUCGGUCUCNNNNNNNNNNNNNNNNNNNNNNNNNUUGUAAGACCUCAAAGGCAUGUAAAACUCGUAAGACCUUACUAAAGGCAUAAACCCGAUAUCAAAGUUAAGGCUAUAUAUUGAACUUGUAAGACCCCUAAAAGGCAUACCCUCAAUAUAGACGCCAAAACUACUUCACUCGGGACUGAAAGGCUCCGGCCAAACACAAAUGACUGCAGUCACAAGGCUGUACCAGCCAAACUAACAUGACUCAAGGACGCCCGACCGUCGCUAUAAAAUCACAUGCCUUCAAUUACUUCAAAUAUACUUCGAAAAGAACCAGUUAAAUAGGCUACCCUCGACAUAGGAAAAAGGGCUUCGACUAUGUCAACACCUAAAUACAGGCUUUGGGAUACUCAGCCACCGAGCCAAACCUCCCGAGGUUCUCGAUCAUCGCCAUAUAACGACUCACAAUCAAGGUUUCUAUUAAACCGUUGAAGAGUCAGGCAAACACAAUUUCGAAAAGUCCUUAAUGAGGGAAAAAUAAAACCUAUAAGAGGUCGUACCGACCCAACGUGUAAGAGCCACUGUCGCCAGCCCAUACAAGAGGUCGACGUAAGAGCCACUAUCGCCAACCCACACAAGAGGUCGUACCGACCCACACAUAAGAGCCUAAGGGCCAGCUUUAAAUUCAAAAGCUUGAGGGUCGAAUGAGCUCGAGUCGAUACCCGACUCGGAGACUGAACCCAAGAUAGUUGACUAAAUAUGCAUAAGAGCUCACAUGCUGGCUUAUACCAAAAGGUCGUACCGACCAAGUGCGUAAGAGCCUACAGGCCAGCCCAAUGAGCGCCUAGGCCAUACCACGAAUCUAAGGAUUCCUAUUUAACUCGAAGACUAAUUCAUCUGGCUAAAAUCAAGGCAAAGAGAAAUGCAUGAAAAAUAAAACCGCGAGGUUUCCUUUUAUACAUAUAUGUGAAGGAGUACAAGCUCCAUUUACAACGUACUUUGAAAAGUACUACUCCCUCUGUUCCAAUUUAUGUGAACCUAUUUCCUUUUUGGUCCAUUUCAAAAAGAAUGACUCCUUUCUAAAUUUGGUAACAAUUUAGCUUAAACUUACAAUUCUAUCCUUAAUGAGAAGAUUUUAUAACCACACAAAUACUCUAGGCCCCUUUUUGGCUUGUUUAGGACCACAAAUUCCAAAAGUCUUCAUUUUUUCUUAAACUCCAUGCCCAGUCAAACAGGUUCACAUAAAUUGGAACGGAGGGAGUAUAUACAGAACCAAAAAAGGAAAUCUACGUCCCCCUUGGGGACUAUGGCCCGUCAGCCUCUUUCUCGCCAUCUUCGGCAUCAGACAGAAGGAACUUAGCAUCAUGUUCUUCCGCCUUCGCCUGUUUUAUCUCUUCCGAGGGAUUGAAGCCCCUGGAAUGAAUUUCCUCGAGGGCUUCCCUUUGAUAUUUACACCUCACGUACUCUUUAUUCCUACUCUCCUGGUCGAGAGCCCUCCUUAGCUCAGCACGAGCAUCGACAACAUCUUUCAAAUAGGCAACCACCUUUUUAUCAGCCUUAGUUCGGAUUGUUAUGGCUUCAGCCCGGGCAUCUACGACUUCGGCCUUCAUCUUCAAGAGCUCGGAUUCAAGUCGUGGAAUAAUGUACGAUCGGACCAAGCUAUUUUCGUGAGCAUUGCGGAGAUGUACUUCGAAGGUAGAAACCUUGGCUAGAGAUCCUUUCUAAGCCGAUAACUGGGCAUCCACCCGAGUCUUUAGCCUAUCGCACUUGAACUUGGCUUGACCAACUUCAUCCCUAAUGCUCUCCAGGUCCUCCGUCUUUUUCUACAGUUGAAGUAAACAAAACAUUAGCCUCGGAAGAUAGAAAAAGAAACAUACUCUCCCUUGAAACAGAAGUUACCUGCUCCUCGAGGAAGCUUUCGUAGUUCAAACUGCGACUCAUCUCAUACUGCAAGUGUGCCAACUCGUCUUCCCUUUCAUCGUAAAGAAGCCUGAGGUAUUUCUCCCCAUCUACGGUUUUUCGCAAUCUGGCCUCAUGGCGAAACAUCUCAAAUUUGAGCUUAUUAAAAGCCUGUGGAAGAGAAACAUGGCAAGAAAGUAAAAAUUACAAAACUAUAAAUCCAGUACAAACGGUCUAAACCUACCUCCGAGUAAAGCCGCUGAACUUCCUCAAGAAUCAAGUGUACAUCUACUGGUCUGGAUCCAUCUACCCCGGUAGAACUACCCCGAUUUCGGACACAGUCGCCCGAUAUACAUGCCCCUUGGCGUCGAACAUCCCUUAAAGUGCCUUCGACGGGAGAAAAAGCCAAUAGCAGAGAACCCUCGCUCCUCGAAGCACCUUCGACGGUAAAGGAAGAUGGCAGUAAAGGAGGGACCGUUUCUCUAAAGCCAGAGACCCCGAGUGUCGCGCCCCCUUUUUCUCGCGAAAUCGAAUUUAUGACAUAUUGGUUGGCACAACUCUUUCCUUUUGGGAAAGGGGGUUUGCAUUUUGGAGAGUCGCCACCUAACGAUUUUUAAGGUGUGUUAGGGCACCUAUAGGGUUCAUUUAUAACUAAGUUUGGUAACCAGAGAUAGGGUAAGGGCUUGAAAUUAUCCUAAGGGGAAGGUGUUAGGCACCCCUCAGGAUCCACUAGUGUGGUUCCCGGCCAAACAGUUUUUGUGAAUUUUUACAAUUAGAAAUAGACAAGUAGGGCUCAAAUAAUAGGGGAUUUAAGUUUAAAUACACAGGUGUAAGAAAACAUCUAAUGAAAAAAAAAUUAGAUUUUGAAAAGAAUUACAAUCUAAGCAUAUUCAUGAAUGUAAAAAGGGGUGUCCUAGGUUUAUUUAUAAUAUGGAUCACAUCAUUGCAAUACCCGGUAUGACACUCCUCAAAGAGGGGAUACACGUGGUAUUAAAGCACCGAUCAUCAUAUCCAUAUCUACCCUUUCCCGCCCCGUGAAGGUAGUUAAAGCAUAGGUUGGUCUCGACCCCUAUUGCAUGUUGUUACUCGUCCCUUCCUAUCAGUCUUGGAGGAAUUUAGGACUCCUAUCCUAUAAAGGGGGGGGGGAGUUCUAGGCAGACCCUCAGGUUUAAAGGAAAAAUACUAGGCGACAAAUAAGAACACGUAGGACUGCAUUUAGGGGGAAAAACAUAGGAAACAGAUAGAAGGCUCAAAUAUACCUCCACAAGUAAUGCACAUAAACAACAUGACUCAUACACAAUUAAGGUCUAAAUUCAGAUGCUAUACAUGGUAUCUAAGUGACAACAGCAGCAUCAGAUUUAUUACAUGACUCAGAAAAGAAGUCCGAAUCAGGCUUGCCUACUGAUUUUAACAGUUGAUAUACAUAAAGAAGCAUAUUUCCAGUUUUGACAAAUUUAGCACCUAAGGCUUGCCUAGGUGUAAAACAGUGUUUCAGUUAUCAGGGUUACUUAGAAAAGACUGUUUGAAUUGUAUUACUGAACAUGCUGCUCUAAAUGUUCGGAAUUCUGAAAUUAUUACCAGCUGGGUUAAUCUAUUUUUUUAAUAAUUAAACUAGAGAUGCCUAAGCGGAUGUGAAUGCAAUUCUAAAGGCAUGAUAUCUAAUGCACAAAAAUGCAGAGUGAUGUAUAUGCAGGACCUGAGCAGGUUUUUUUUUUCUAAAUGCAUAAGUAAUAUAUACUUUCAGAAUAUGCAGAAGAUAUGGAAAUGACCUGUUUAUUAGCGUUGUUUUUUUUAAUACUAAGGCAGGGUCUCUAAGUGUACGUGGCAACACAUAACAUAAUAGUAAAGUGCUAGUUAUUAACAGAUUUUAACACAUGAUUUUAUAAGGAUGCACAUGCUCAAAUAAUAAACAUGGGACCUAAGAGCAUGAUUUCUAAUGCAUGUAUGAAUCCUAAGCAUGUUUUCUAUUGCGCAAUUAGGAAUAUAAACGUAACAACUUGUUUUCUACCCUUAACAUUAUAGCAUGCAUAUUUACCCAAUCCCUUUUCACUAGCCAACCCCAAUACUUAUUUACAACAUAUUAUUACAGACCAACACUGAAAUGAAUUACAUAAGAAAAAGUUACACUAUAGAGAGCCCGAAAAUAGGCCCAAACUUUCAACACCUGAUUAGGACUUCCUCCAUGAGUUAUGUAAUAAAUUACCUCAAGUGCCAAGAUUGUUCCAUAGCCUUUCUCAUAUCUGGGUGUGUCAGAGUUCCCUAAGGAGCUCAAGGGAUCCCGGGUAGUGCUCACACCGAGAUUUCAUGGCUAGGACAGAGUAAGUGCAGUGUGGAAAGACCAACUUUUGUGUGUCCAAGUUCAGAGGAAGCUCAAGGGUCCCAAGGCAGGGCUCACACAAAGGGGCAGAACCUAGUGGUCUAAGAGUAAGGUGAGAGUGCUUGACAUAAGUUUAAAAGAACAAUUUUGACAAUGAUUAGUUUGAAACAAGUUUUGGAAAAAAAACAAUAUAAGAGUUUGCCUUAGUGAAAAACCAGUUUGAAGAAGAAAAGAAACAGGACAAUCAGCAACUCAAGACCAAAUCAACAUACAUAGUUCAAACACAAACAUAGAAAGGAGGAAUUGGGGACAAGUAGUUCAUAUGUGAAAGCAUAUUUGCACACAAAUUACACCAAAGAAGUACUACAGAAAUAGUCACAGUAAUAGUCUAUCACAAAGUGUUCAUUCUAGGAGCUUAACAGUAUUAGAUUAAGGGAUUCUAAACAGAGUUUCUCAUUAGAUUAAGGGGAAGGGUUCAGGAUCACAUAGUGACUGGGUGUCACAAACACAUGCUUACAAUGUAUUGGGGGUUAGGGCAGAAUAAUAGUAGAAAAAUGCAAGAAAGCAGUAGACAUGCUGAAUUACAGGAAAGGGGUAUAUUACACAGAGUUUGUCAUGCUACUUAGUGUUAAUCAAGUACAUUAGGAGUCUAUGAUAUGAGCAUACUAGUUGAGGGAAAUAAACAAGAACUCAAGUAAACAUGCUGGCCAAGUAUCAUACAAGACAAGUGAGACCCAGACAUGCUGAUUACACACUUGAACAAGAGAGGGCAAAACUUAAGCAUACUGAAUAAAGCAGUAAACAAGAAGGGCAAUUAAAUACAUAAGCCAUUAAAUUAGUGCAGGAGGAGACAUGGAUUAACAGACAUGGAUCACAUAGAGUUGAGUUUCAGAAUUGAACUAGGAACAUACCAGUUAAAGAAGCAAAAAUGCAGAAAGCAAAGCAAGUAUAGUUCCACAGUCUAACCUUGACUUUCAGCCGGCUAGACAAGUAGUUAGCACAAGUAGCAGAGAGAGAGGAGAGAAUUUUUAUGUGUGUGUGUGUGUGUGUGUGUGUAUUUUUUUGAACUAAUUGUUCGUGUCCUAUGCUAAAGAGAGGGUAGAGCACUAAUUGUUUGUGUCCUAUGAAAAUCACAGGGAAUCAACACUAACUAAGGAAAGUAUCACAAAAAUAAGAAAGCAAUUCAAAAAAUCAGUACAUAAGUACAAGAAAAAUAUACAAAAUCACAGAUUCAGGGAAGAUAUUGCAGGUCUAAGGAGAUUACACAAAAGCAAUACAAAUUAUGUGAACAAUCAAUAAAAUAAAUAGUCGGACCUAUUAAAUGAUAAAUAUUCAAAAAAUCAGUACAGAAUUACAAGAAAAAUAUACAAAAUCACAUAUUCAGGGAAGAUAUCGCAGGUCUAAGGAGAUUACACAAAAGCAAUACAAAUUAUGUGAACAAUCAAUAAACAAAUAGUCGGACCUAUUAAAUAAUAAAUACACGUGUUGAACAAAAUCAGAUAAACCCUAAGAACAAAUUAGAGCAGGAAGCACAAGAAUAUAUAGAAUAUACAUGAAACCAAGAAGGUUCAUGAGAGACAUUGACGAGGCCAAUGUGUAUAGGAUUUUCCGGCUCGUGCUUAGUCAAAUUCUAAUAUAGUUUAAGAUAUCGUCCCACAUAGAUUGAAAAAUCUAUGCUACAAACUUGUAAUAUUUAUACUACUAUUUGAGAGAACUAAAUUGAUAAAAAGAGUAGGAUUUUGAAUUUGUAAAUUACUUAAACAAAAACAACUUGUGAAAUAUUUAUAUUUAAAAAGUGGUGGGAAUCAUUGAAUUCACUUGACGAUAUUUUUAUAAUAAAAUCUCAAUUUCUACAUAUAUUUCACUAAUGAAUAAUUGCUUAUUGCUAAUACAAUUAUGUUUUGCUCACUAGAAAGUAAACAAUUAAUAAUACUCCUUGAGGUUAUAUUAUUAACUGACUUACGACUAGUGACAAUAAGACCAAAAUAUGUGUCUUGUCUGAAUUGUGCUAAGAGGUAGUAAAAACUUCGUAAAAAUAUUUUUACUACAAAAUCAAUGAUAUUUCUUAUAACAACUCCUCCGUGAGAAUUAAAAUUGAAGUAAACAAAAAUCAAGAUUUGGAAUGCUAGAUUGCUGAAAAUUACCCUUUAUCUAUUGAUUCACACUAGUCAGUAUGUAUUGAUUUUGCUUCGUGAGAAUUACAAAUCAAUACAAACUUGAGAAAUAAAUAGAUAGAUGUGGCUGAUUGAAAUCUAACACCCCAGCACAAUAUAAAAGUGGAGCUAGAGAAUCUCACAAGUAUGUAAUAAAAUUGUGAAAACUAUUAUAAAAUUAUAUAUCAAGCUUCAUCAACCAUCCCAACAAAAAGACACUACUCUAUUAUCGAGUAUUUGAAAAAGAAUGGACUUCUAUAAUAUGGCCUAUAUUACUAAUACUACUAGGAAAUCGGAAAAUUAUAAGUAAUGAAAGAAGAACAAGAAAGAAUAAGUGACCAAAGCUUUAGAAAAUAAAGUGGCUCUUUUGUUCCUUUUUCCUCGAUGCCUCAUACACAUAGAGUUGCCUUCUAUUUAUAGAAGUACAUUUCUUCUUGAAGUGUUGUGAUCUCAGGUGAGGAAGAUGCAUCUUGAGGAGAAUAUGUCAUGAGGAAGAUGUAUCUCGAGGAAGAUACGUCAUGAAGAAGAUGCUUAGUGAUCUUCUUGCAUUGUGGAGUGAAUAUGUUAUGACCUUCUUGUUUCUUUCAUUUUCUUGCUUAAUUAAUAGCAUUCUUAUCUCCUGCAAAACAUUGUUAGAAAAUAUAGAGAAUUGAAAUAUUAUAUAAAUACUUUAUUUAAAAUAGUAUAGUUUUAAGUAUAUAAUAUAUGUCAUCAAACUCCCCCAUACUUGAAUCAUUGCUCGUCCUCGAGGAGAAUUAUUUUAUUAGUAAUUAUUGUUUCUUGUAGACUAGAAAAGUAAGAAAAUAAAAAUUCACAUAACAUUCAAAACCUAUAAAUUUUUCAAGUCACCAAAUCUUUACCUUAUUUCUACUUCUGCUUUUGUUUGACAAAAAUUUUCUCUCUUCCCUUGACGAACUUUUUGAGAUUGAUAACAUUAUGAUCACAAUCCUUGAGUUUCUUAAACAUUGUCCAUAAGCUUGCCCUUCAUGCCAAUCUCCACUAAUGUAGAAUCAACAUUGAUUUUUAAAAUCUUUUUAGAACUUUUUCAGGCUUUUAUUGUUAGGCUUAGUGCGGGUAAGGGUAAAUAAAAUAUUUAUAGUGACUAUGUUCCUUCCAGCUUUAUAAUGUGAGCCAAUUAUUUUACCAAAGGAACUAGUACAACUUAAUACAAAGAAGAUAAACUCUAGAGAUGUCUUCAGUCCCAUGAUUAAAACCAAUUAAGUCAACAUUCCUUUCAACAUAAACAUUCUCCGUAAGUUUUAACUUCUUACACCAAGAAUUUAUUCCAUAAGUAUAUUCACGUCAUUUUUUUUGUGUGAGAAGGAUAUUCACAUCAUUCUUUUUAAAACUUUAUAUACAAACCAAUCCACCUUUCUCUGAAUACAAACUUUACAUCAAAAGUAUUCCUUCAUCCUGUGCUUAAAUAGCCAUUUCUGCUCAAUUAUAGCGGGAAGAAAUCUUUUUUCUUUGGUUAAACCAAUAUGGUGUAUCAAGAAGAGUUGGUUUAUCCUUUCUUUUUUUUUUCUUUUUUUUUUUUAAUAAGGCUCAAAGUUGGGUGCUAAAGGAAAAUAUGUGUGUGUGUGUAGUGGUAGAAACAGAGAAGCUAAAAAGUGAUCAAGGAAAGCCUAAUUUCAUUUAAAACUCAAUGUUGUCUAUAAUUUCGUCUUGAUAGACAUUUGGGGCAAGUUCUAGCAAAGCUUUAUUGAUUCUACUUGUUGAGAUCAUAAUGCUUCUCAAUUCCAACUAUUUCUCAUAUUAGGAGAUUCAUUAUUGCCAUCACAAAAACCCAAAUACAAACAUGGAAGUUAUAUGACAUAAAUGAAAAAAAAAUAUGUUUGAAACCAUGCGAAUAAUUAUUUGAAAACUUUAAUAUUAUACAAAAACAAUAAUUAAGAAUAAAAAAAGGAUGAGUUUAUUUGUAUUUAUAGGGAACCGCGAGAGUAUAGAUAACAAAGAGUAGCUAAACCAGGAAAACUAUACUUAUAAGAUCAUAUGUAUCUAUUUUAAGAAAAAGAAACUUACCUCUCGAUGUGUCACAUGAUGGAGGUUUGAUGCAUCAGGCAUAUGUUUGUCACUUUUGUAUCUUGGAUUCAUUUUUCUUUCAUGUUUAACUUCUUCUUCAACAAUGAAACCAAAACAGUUAAUGUACCAUAAUAUGUAAUAUCACCAAAAGAUAUUGAGAAUGUCAUAAAAAUAAAGAGAAUGAACACUCAUGGUGAAUCCAUACCAACUUGUAUAAUCAGUGAAAGCAUUUGCACAACCUUUGGCCAUCUUUAUAAUGAAGAUAUCUUAAUUCUUUAUAACUGAAAAACACAUUCACAAUAAAUGUGCCAACAUGAAGAAGAAGAAAAAACAGCUUUUGUCAAAUAUGUGUUGGCCUUGCUCUACCUGCACAAAUAAAAAAAAUAAAAAGUGAUUCUAGCAAAAGUUGUCCUAUUAGAUGUGUCCAUUCUCUGACUCUCUAUGGGUAUUUUUGCAUAGAGAAUUAAGGGCAGUAACACCCUACAGUAAAAUAGUCCAAAGGUCCAUCUAUAUAUAAAUAUGAAACUAUAUUAAUGUACAGUCAAAAAAAAUUAAAACAAUAUUACUUAAAACGUAGUAUUUACAUUAACUUAAAAAGUACUUAAUUUACACGGGAACGUCUUGAUAUGUUCCAACUUGUGACGACCCGGCCGGUCGUCUUAAGAAUUAACGCCCCAACCCCUAUUAACUGCUUUUCCCAAGUUUAAUUAUGCUAUUUUGAUUUGCCGGGAUGUUCGGUUUUGAGUUUCGGAGAGUUUUGGGACACUUAGUCCCUAAAUGAGAGCUUAAGUGUUUGAAAAUUGACCAUAGUCGGAACAGUGUGAGGACGGCCUCAGAAUGGAAAUCUGAUGGUUCCAUUAGCUCCGUUGGGCGAUUUCGGGUUGAAGAGCGUGUUCGGACUGUAUUUUGGAGAUCCGUAGCUAAUUUAGGCUUGAAAUGCCGAAAGUUAAAUUUUUGAAGUUUCCGGUCCGAUAGUGAGAUUUUGAUCUGAGGGUCGGAAUGGAAUUCUGGAAGUUGGAGUAGCUCCGUAGUGUUGAAUGUGACAUGUGUGCAAAAUUUCAGGUCAUUCGGACGAGGUUUGAUAGACUUUUUGAUCGAAAACGUAUUUUGAGAAUUUUAGAGUUCUUAGGCUUGAAUCCAUGGUUAAUUCGAGGUUCCGAUGUUGUUUUAGGUGUUCUAAGGAUUGAUACAAGUUUGGAUAGUUGUUUGUGACUUGUUGGUGCCUUUGGUUGAGGUCCCGGAGGCUUCAGAAUGAUUUCGGAUGGUUGACGGAAGAAUUUUGGAGUUGGAACGUUGCAGCUUCACCUGAUUUCUGUCAUAACCGCACCUGCGGUUUGGGUUCCGCCGGUGCGGAGCCGCAGAAGCGGCCAUUAGAUCGCAAAAGCGGAAAAAAGGGAGGGCCAGCAUAGAGCCACAGAAGCGGACGCUCCAUCGUAGAAGUGCGUCCGCAGAAGCGGACUCUUUGUCCGCAGAUGCGGAAACUGCCACAGAAGCGUGAUCUCUUCUCGCACCUGCGGGACCACAGGUGCGGCUCAUCUGGUCGCAGAUGCGAAACUUGCUGGACAGAAUGUUUUAAGUUCUUUCCAUUUUUACAAAUUUGGAGCUCAGGAAGAGGCGAUUUUCGAGAGAAACAAAGGGGUAAGUGUUCUUAACUUUAUUUUGGUUAGAUUAUUCGAAUCUACUACUAGCUUUGGCAUUAAAUAUGUGAAUUUAGUUGGAAGAGUUUCAAAACCCUCUCGGAUAGAUUUGAGGAUUUGAGGGUCGAAAUGUUAUGGGAUUUGGAUAAUUUUGAUAUGGUUAGACUUGUGAGAGUGCGAGGUUUCUAGAAAUAUAAAUUUUACCCGAUUUUGAGACGUGGGCCUGAGGGCAUUUUGGUCAUUUUACAUAAUUUCGCGUAUUAACUUAGAAUUUAAUUGUAGAAUCAGUUACUUGAAGUGUUAUUUAUAUUAUGAAAUUGAAUUGAAUAUAUUUGGGCCAUUUGGAGUCGAGUACUCGUGGCAAAAGCGUGGUUUCAGAUUGAUUUUAAGCCGGUUUGAGGUAAGUGGUUUGUCUAACCUUGUGCGGGGGACCUUCCCCUUAGGAUAUGAUAUAUUCGAUAAUUGAAAUGCCUUGUACGUGAGGUGACGAGUGCAUACUUGAGCUAAUUGUUGAAAAUCCGAUUUUUCUUCAAGUAUUUCAAUUGAGUUCCUUUUUCCCGUUUUAUUCUACUUGCGAAUUUAGCCUGUUGUAGUUUAGAAAAGCAGGUUUAGUUGACUUAAUUGCCUAUUUGCUUAAACUGAUUUAAUUGCAUUACAUGAAGCAUAUUAGACUAGAAUUAACUGUUUACUUGAUUCGAAUUUAGCAUUUAAUUGAGUAUUCUUAUGUUGCUUCUGUGUGUUUUUAAUUUGGGAUUACGGGACGGCAUCCCGGGAGAUCCCUGGCACGUAUAUUGAGGAUACCAAGAGAUCCUCGGGAUACCAAGAGAUCCCUAUCAUAUAUUGAGGAUACCAAGAGAUCCUCGGGAUACCAAGAGAUCCCUAGCAUACAUUGAGAAUACCAAGAGAUUCUCGGAAUACCAAAAGAUCCCUAACACAUAUUGAGGAUACCAAGAGAUCCCUAGCAUACAUUGAGGAUACCAAGAGAUCCCCGGUUAUCACCCUUGCUAUGAAUGGCAUUUCCUUGUGGUUUGCCUUUAUCUCUGGUUCCGUUAUUGUACUCUUAUCAUCCUGUAUAGAUUCUUACUGUAGAUUCUCAAUUGUACAGCUUAUUUUAUCCUGUCAUCUUAUUAUUUAUUUAAUCUCAGUAGGGCCCUGACCUUACUCGUCACUACCCAACCGAGGUUAGGCUUGACAUUUACUGAGUACCGCUAUGGUGUACUCAUGCCCCUUCUGCGCAUGUUUUCAUGUGCAGAUCCAGGUACUGCUACUCAGGCCUACCAUCUUUGAGGGAGGCGACUGCUCUAGAGACAUCGAGGUACAUCUGCCGCGUCCACAGACCGAGA
RNAcentral lists this long non-coding RNA (21263 nucleotides) under Nicotiana tabacum (common tobacco). RNAcentral's name for it is "long non-coding RNA (NTAB_LNC012892)". The record is from RNAcentral. Lineage: Eukaryota; Viridiplantae; Streptophyta; Magnoliopsida; Solanales; Solanaceae.